GUCCCCAUAGCUCAAUUGGAAGAGCGUCAGCUUGCGGAGCUGAAGGUUGGAGGUUCAAGCCCUCCUGGGGAUA
Molecule: transfer RNA, 73 nt
Filed under: Candidatus Yanofskyibacteriota bacterium
Lineage: Bacteria; Candidatus Yanofskyibacteriota
Description: Candidatus Yanofskybacteria bacterium tRNA-Arg
Rfam family: tRNA
About the family: Transfer RNA (tRNA) molecules are approximately 80 nucleotides in length.
Source: RNAcentral